GAGAAUGUCUCGAACGUAGUAUUCAGCAUGCUCUUAGGACAAUUCAAAGUUCUAGAUCCAAAGGGACGGUCAUGUUGGAUGACUGACGUGUUCGUUCUUCCAUCCACAGCACUUGUCUUUAUAUAGAUCAACUACAUGGUUACAGACUGAUAUAGUAAGGGGGCAUGUCAGGACCACCUAAAGAGAAGAUGAUAUAUGGUGCUUCCUGAGGUGCAUUCUCCUAAGUAAUAAAUGGUAAACUGGAGAACAUUUAUUUGAAACGAAAUACAGGUGAUGAAGCUGUGACAAAUACGAUAACCUAAUCAUCCAACAGAAAUCGCCUUAAAGCAUAAAGCGCCGGCAAGACCGUGUGGCCGUGGAAAGAUGCGUCAGGCUCUCAGCUGCAACCUAAGACCCAGGAAGACAUGCAUGUCUGUGACUCAAAGCAAGUCAUGGUUUAUGAGCCACUGAAAGGAACAGAGGUGGAACAAGGCAGCUGAUGAAUUUUCUUUACGAUCCAUUUGUGCCAAGAACGUGAGAAAGAGAAGAGUUUCCUGCUCACAGAAGGCCAGUGUGCUGCCCUACAAGUUUGUCCUGGUCCCACUUUUGAUUCCAAACCAGGAGCCUGAAGAAGGAUGAGGGUGCGACAGUCAAGGAAACGAUUUGUGUCAGAGCAUCUACACUAACGCCCGAUCUACCCAUCACCUGUCAACGCAAGGCCAGAUAAAAAGUGCAUACGUACUGCUACUCGAGAGCCAUGAAAAACAAUUACAUAAAUUACAUCUACCACAUUUGUUUCUCCGAUUUUUUCGCUCUGACUGGUGGCUGACAUUUACUUUAAAAAUGUUCAAUCAAGGGGCCCCUGGGUGGCUCAGUCUGUUGGGCGGCUGACUUUGGCUGAGGUCAUGAUCUCACAGCUCAUGAGUUCGAGCCCCGUGUUGGGCUCUGUGCUGACAGCUCAGUGCCCAGAACCUGCUUCAGAUACUGUGUCUCCCUCUCUCUCUACCCCUCCCACGCUCAUGCUCUCUCUCUCUCUCAAAAAUAAA
Panthera uncia (snow leopard) is the source of this 1025-nucleotide long non-coding RNA. RefSeq lists it as uncharacterized. The transcript is spliced from 4 exons. The record is from RefSeq and is a predicted model, not a curated record. NCBI's taxonomy places the organism in Eukaryota, Metazoa, Chordata, Mammalia, Carnivora, Felidae.